GAUGAACGCUGGCGGCGUGCCUCAAACAUGCAAGUCGAGCGGGGCUAUGUAAUAUCGCAAGGUAGAACAUAGCCUAGCGGCGAACGGGUGAGUAACACGUGGGUAACCUGCCUGGAAGACAGGGAUAACGAUUCGAAAGGGUCGCUAAUACCUGAUAAUAUCCUUUCAUCGCAUGGUGAUAGGAAGAAAGGGGAAACCCGCUUUCAGAUGGGCCCGCGUCCCAUCAGCUAGUUGGUAAGGUAAAGGCUUACCAAGGCGACGACGGGUAGCCGGUCUGAGAGGAUGUACGGCCACACUGGGACUGAGAUACGGCCCAGACUCCUACGGGAGGCAGCAGUUGGGAAUCUUAGGCAAUGGACGAAAGUCUGACCUAGCGACGCCGCGUGAGGGAAGAAGGCCUCGGUUGUAACUCUGUCAUGGGGAAGAAGUAAGUGACGGUACCCAACGAGGAAGCCCCUGCUAACUACGUG
RNAcentral lists this ribosomal RNA (470 nucleotides) under uncultured bacterium. Its description in RNAcentral is "bacterial SSU rRNA". It matches the Rfam family "Bacterial small subunit ribosomal RNA", at positions 28 to 507 of the family's 1533-position model. The record is from RNAcentral.